Molecule: ribosomal RNA, 374 nt
Filed under: uncultured organism
Description: partial 16S ribosomal RNA
Rfam family: Bacterial small subunit ribosomal RNA
Source: RNAcentral
GUAGGUGGCAAGCGUUGUCCGGAAUUAUUGGGGCGUAAAGCGCGCGCAGGUGGCUCUUUAAGUCUGAUGUGAAAGCCCCCGGGCUCAACCGGGGAGGGUCAUUGGAAACUGGGGAACUUGAGUGCAGGAGAGGAAAGUGGAAUUCCACGUGUAGCGGUGAAAUGCGUAGAUAUGUGGAGGAACACCAGUGGCGAAGGCGACUUUCUGGCCUGUAACUGACACUGAGGCGCGAAAGCGUGGGGAGCAAACAGGAUUAGAUACCCUGGUAGUCCACGCCGUAAACGAUGAGUGCUAAGUGUUGGGGGGUUUCCGCCCCUCAGUGCUGCAGCUAACGCAUUAAGCACUCCGCCUGGGGAGUACGGUCGCAAAGACUG